AUUCCAGCUCCAAUAGCGUAUAUUAAAGUUGUUGCAGUUAAAAAGCUCGUAGUUGGAUUUCUGGGCUGAGCGACCGGUCCGCCGCUGUGCGGUGUGUACUCGUGUUCGACUCGGCUCAUCCUUGUGGGGAAACGCAUUUCGGCAUUAGGUUGUCGAGGCGGGGAACCGCAUCGUUUACUGUGAAAAAAUUAGAGUGUUUAAAGCAGGCAAAUUGCUGUGAAUACAUUAGCAUGGAAUAAUAACAUAGGACUUUGGUUCUAUUUUGUUGGUUGGAGGCCAAGGUAAUGAUUAAUAGGGAUAGUUGGGGGUAUUCAUAUUUAAUUGUCAGAGGUGAAAUUCUCGGAUUUAUGAAAGAUGAACUCAUGCGAAAGCAUUUACCAAGGAUGUUUUCAUCA
RNAcentral lists this ribosomal RNA (395 nucleotides) under Stramenopiles sp. MAST-3D. RNAcentral's name for it is "partial small subunit ribosomal RNA". It matches the Rfam family "Eukaryotic small subunit ribosomal RNA", at positions 582 to 975 of the family's 1831-position model. The record is from RNAcentral.